This 433-nucleotide ribosomal RNA is filed under the name uncultured bacterium. Its description in RNAcentral is "partial 16S ribosomal RNA". It matches the Rfam family "Bacterial small subunit ribosomal RNA", at positions 29 to 507 of the family's 1533-position model. The record is from RNAcentral.
AACGAACGCUGGCGGCAUGCCUAACACAUGCAAGUCGAACGAGACCUUCGGGUCUAGUGGCGCACGGGUGCGUAACGCGUGGGAACCUGCCCUUAGGUUCGGAAUAACUCCCCGAAAGGGGUGCUAAUACCGGAUAAUGUCUUCGGACCAAAGAUUUAUUGCCUUUGGAUGGGCCCGCGUUGGAUUAGCUAGUUGGUAGGGUAAAAGCCUACCAAGGCGACGAUCCAUAGCUGGGCUGAGAGGAUGAUCAGCCACACUGGGACUGAGACACGGCCCAGACUCCUACGGGAGGCAGCAGUGGGGAAUAUUGGACAAUGGGCGAAAGCCUGAUCCAGCAAUGCCGCGUGAGUGAUGAAGGCCUUAGGGUUGUAAAGCUCUUUUACCCGGGAUGAUAAUGACAGUACCGGGAGAAUAAGCUCCGGCUAACUCCGUG